GGUUGUGGCCCAGUGGUAGAGCACUUGCCUAGCAUGUGUGAGGCACUGGGUUUGAUUCUCAGCACUG
Molecule: transfer RNA, 67 nt
Filed under: Marmota monax (woodchuck)
Lineage: Eukaryota; Metazoa; Chordata; Mammalia; Rodentia; Sciuridae
Description: tRNA.Ala
Source: RNAcentral